UACGUAGGGUGCAAGCGUUGUCCGGAAUUAUUGGGCGUAAAGGGCUCGUAGGCGGUUUGUCGCGUCGGGAGUGAAAACUCAGGGCUUAACCCUGAGCCUGCUUCCGAUACGGGCAGACUAGAGGUAUGCAGGGGAGAAUGGAAUUCCUGGUGUAGCGGUGAAAUGCGCAGAUAUCAGGAGGAACACCGGUGGCGAAGGCGGUUCUCUGGGCAUUACCUGACGCUGAGACGCGAAAGCGUGGGGAGCAAACAGG
RNAcentral lists this ribosomal RNA (253 nucleotides) under uncultured bacterium. RNAcentral's name for it is "partial 16S ribosomal RNA". It matches the Rfam family "Bacterial small subunit ribosomal RNA", at positions 524 to 776 of the family's 1533-position model. The record is from RNAcentral.